CACGUAGGGCGCGAGCGUUGUCCGGAAUUAUUGGGCGUAAAGAGCUCGUAGGCGGCCUGUUGCGUCCGCUGUGAAAGCCCGGGGCUUAACCCCGGGUCGGCAGUGGAUACGGGCAGGCUAGAGGUAGGUAGGGGAGAAUGGAAUUCCCGGUGUAGCGGUGAAAUGCGUAGAUAUCAAGUGGAACACCAGUGGCGAAGGCGAGUCUCUGGACAUUUCCUGACGCUGAGGCACGAAAGCCAGGGGAGCAAACGGG
This 253-nucleotide ribosomal RNA is filed under the name uncultured bacterium. RNAcentral describes it as "partial 16S ribosomal RNA". It matches the Rfam family "Bacterial small subunit ribosomal RNA", at positions 524 to 776 of the family's 1533-position model. The record is from RNAcentral.